This 77-nucleotide transfer RNA is filed under the name Aeromonas phage APT65. RNAcentral describes it as "tRNA-Leu". It matches the Rfam family "tRNA". Rfam says of the family: Transfer RNA (tRNA) molecules are approximately 80 nucleotides in length. The record is from RNAcentral. Lineage: Duplodnaviria; Heunggongvirae; Uroviricota; Caudoviricetes; Grimontviridae.
GGCCAUGUGAUGGAAUUGGUAUACAUACCAGUCUUAGAAACUGGGUUCUGAGAGUUCGAGUCUCUCCGUGGCCACCA